Molecule: long non-coding RNA, 640 nt
Organism: Belonocnema kinseyi
Lineage: Eukaryota; Metazoa; Arthropoda; Insecta; Hymenoptera; Cynipidae
Exons: 3
Source: RefSeq, a predicted model, not a curated record
GCAACAAAUUUAACACCAGCGUUUUUCUGUGAAAGUUCGGUAGCAUUUGCAAGCUCAGACCUUCAACAUAAUGCGUGAAUUCAGUAUACGGGAUACUAUAUUCCAAUGUACAAACUAAAACAAUGAAGCACAGAAUCGACAUGGAUGAAGUAGGAAAAAAGCUGUUAGGCGAAAAUCAUGGAAUCGUAUUCAGGGAUUCUGGGUUGGCCGUAGACAUAGAACAUCAAUUCCUGGCAGCAAGUCCAGAUGGCUUCAUUGGCGACGAUUCCAUCGUAGAAAUAAAAUGCCCGUCAUCUGCAGAUGAUUAUGAAUUGCCAGAAGAAGCGAUAUUUGACAAGAAAGUAUGUAUUGAAUGUUACCAACCACAAUGUAGCCAACCAGUGACUAUUUCUACCAAGUGCAAGGCCAACUGCAUAUUACUAGAAAAAAGCAGUGCCAUUUGGUGAUUUGUACAAAAAAUUUUCUGACCAUAGAAAUAAUAGAAAAAGAUUAUGCCUUUUGGGAUAAGAAAAUGAAAAAUGGUUUUAUGAGAUUUACUACGACUGCCUUCUUCCGGAUAUUAUCAAUCGGAUGUAUCCACUACGUCUUCAAAAAUGAAAAAUAAAGAAUCCGCCCGGACGAGGAUGCAAGAAGUCUUCGG